RNAcentral lists this ribosomal RNA (468 nucleotides) under uncultured bacterium. RNAcentral describes it as "partial 16S ribosomal RNA". It matches the Rfam family "Bacterial small subunit ribosomal RNA", at positions 28 to 507 of the family's 1533-position model. The record is from RNAcentral.
GACGAACGCUGGCGGCGUGCUUAACACAUGCAAGUCGAACGGAAAGGCCCUGCUUUUGUGGGGUGCUCGAGUGGCGAGCGGGUGAGUAACACGUGAGUAACCUGCCCUUGUCUUUGUGAUAACUCCAGGGAAAUGCGGCUAAUACCGGAUAGGAUCUCCUGCUCCAUGGUGGGGGUUGGACAGUUUCGGCGGUUGGGGAUGGACUCGCGGCUUAUCAGCUUGCUGGUCGGGUAGUGGCUUACCAAGGCUUUGACGGGUAGCCGGCCUGAGAGGGUGACCGGCCACAUUGGGCCUGAGAUACGGACCAGACGCCUAUGGGAGGCAGCAGGGGGAAAUAUUGCGCAAUGGGGCGAAGCCUGAUGCAGCGAUGCCGCGUGCGGGAUGAUGGCUUUCUGGGUGUAAACAGCUUUCGCCUGUAACGAAGCGUGAGUGACGGUAACGGGUAAAGAAGCAACGGCUAACUACGUG